UCUCCUGUGAUGGAAUUGGUAUACAAAAGGGAUUCAAAAUCCCUUGCCUUUAUGGUGUGCGGGUUCGAGUCCCGCCAGGAGAA
RNAcentral lists this transfer RNA (83 nucleotides) under Chitinophaga pinensis DSM 2588. RNAcentral's name for it is "tRNA-Leu (CAA) (tRNA-Leu-CAA-2-1)". It matches the Rfam family "tRNA". From Rfam's summary of the family: Transfer RNA (tRNA) molecules are approximately 80 nucleotides in length. Their secondary structure includes four short double-helical elements and three loops (D, anti-codon, and T loops). The record is from RNAcentral. Lineage: Bacteria; Pseudomonadati; Bacteroidota; Chitinophagia; Chitinophagales; Chitinophagaceae.